RNAcentral lists this long non-coding RNA (711 nucleotides) under Olea europaea subsp. europaea. The record is from RNAcentral. Lineage: Eukaryota; Viridiplantae; Streptophyta; Magnoliopsida; Lamiales; Oleaceae.
UAAAGGAAAUAAAAAUUAUUUGUCCUUUCUCGGUGUUGCCAUUCUUAUAUUGACCCUUAUGGCCAUAAGCUUUCCUUCCCAAACCACCGCAAACAAUCGUCAUUUAUUUCCACCUCCAUCUCCAAGAAUUUCUACCCCUAACCAUUUUAAGUCUCCACCGCCAUCUCCACCCAUGAAACACUAUGUGCCGCCACCUCCACCUCCCGAGAAAUCAUACAUGUACAAGUCUCCUCCCCCACCUUCUCACUAAGCUGAUCGGAGAUAAGCCAAUGACUUCAAAGGUAUUUUUGAUUUGUGUUAAGUCGUUAACUCUUUCAAUUAGUUGUUGAUUUUUCAUAUUAUUUUCCAAAAUAGGUCCCGCUGAACUGCUCAUUUGAUUUUUUCAACAAUAAUUGAAAAGAAUGGAAUCGACAUACAACUUAUGAAAAUCUCAUAAUUAUUGAUGGCAGCUAGUUUUUGUAUUCCUGCAGGAAAUUGAAGAUUAUUUGAUUACAGAAUGGGUGAGCUUGAGAAAAUAAUAUAGUUAUAAUAAACCCAAUGGAGACACGAUUCAGUAGUUCUCUUUAGAGGCUAGAGCUCCAUAAUAUUGUAUUGUUUCUAAUUUAUUUUCUUUUAUUUUCUUGAGGUUAGUUUUAUUUCACUCCUUUUAGUCUAUUCUAAUUUUCAGUUUCAUAUUUAUAAUUAAGAAAAAUGAACCAACGACCUUUUCAC